CCCACCGGGCGGAGCAUGCCCAGUACGGCGGCCCGCAGGCUGACCGGGUUGGUCGCCGCCUCGCUGCCCGCCUCUACGGUGGGGUCCGGGUCUUCCCGCGCCACCAGCUGGCCUCCGCCCGACCCGUGCGUCGGCCUGCGCUCCUCCUCCCUAGGCUGGUCCGGCCCGCGUCUCAGGCUCUGUGCCUCAGUUUACCGAUUGUUAGCCUUGCAGGCGCCGGCUGCCGUGUGCAGGGCAGGUGCAGAGGCGCCGGCGGGGGGCUUGAGGCCUGGCGCCGCGCGAGAGCCCGCGGAGCCGACUUGCUGGUCCUGGUACAGGCCCUGUGCGCCUGCAGCUCUGCGUGGCUGCUCAGGACUCAGCUCGCGCCAGGAGAGGUGACAGCCGUCUGGGGCUCCUCUGUCCUGCCUGGUCCCCUGGCAUGGGCACACUCCGGCUCCUGGACCCUGGAAGCCAGGCCUGUCUCGGUGACUGUGAGUGAGCACAGGGAUGCCAGACAACCUCUUGGUGUCAUGUGGACAUUCUUGAUCUAUGUUCCCCCAAAAAGAAUGUUGGAGUCCUAACCCUCUGUACUUAAUGGGACCUUAUUUGGAUAUAGGGUCUUUACAGAGGCUGCAUCAUGGACCCCUCAAGGGCCCCACCUGGGCCCCACCUUGGCUGAGUCACUUUGAAACAUCUGCUCAUGGAAAAUGAAGCACCUCCUGAUGGCACAUGGUGAUCAAAAAGGAGAGGAAAGUGGCGGGAUCACACCGCAGCACGAGGUCCAGGGAGGAACCUGGAGGCCUGUUGCUCAUCUGCAUCCCAGCGUUCCCCGCCUGCAUUGUCCACUUCACGUCCUUGCCCACGAGUCCAGAUGAAAACGGGAGGUCCACAUUGCAAAGGGGGGAUGUCCCUGAAACUGGUCCCUCCUGCCAUUGCACUGCCUGUGACUCCAGGGCAGAGUAGAAGCUGCCUUGGAAGGGACAGGAUUCCUUGGACAGUGUCACUGAAACAUGCCUUCCACCUCUGGGUCCCACGAAAAAUUAGACUUCAUCUAAUUCUUGAAUUUAUUAAGCUGAAGGCUGCAGCCCUUUCUGAAUGCAGAAUCAGAAACCACGGCUUUAAAAACAGAAGACUGUGGACAAUCUUUCCUAACCAUAAAAUUAUUUCCAUUCUCCAACCAUCAAGUUCUUAAAUGGAUUUUGUAGAUGUGCAAAAACUCAAAGCAGCUCUGUUAAAAAGAAGGAAAGAUGUCAGGCUGAAAAUAAGGAAAAUCAGAAUGGGAGACGAGGACACAGUCUGUGAACGCCCCGGCCUUCACAGCAGCCCCGGCCCUGUGAUUAACCUACGCUAACCCCAAAAAUCUAAAUCAUUCUCACUUCCCAGGAGCUUAUAAGCCAGACAGCUGUUAAGGGGAGCAACUCAUAAUAUUACUGCAAAAUUUCACAGUUGAAAGUCAAAUAGCAAUGAUUUUGCUCUGCCAGCUGGCCUCCACCUUGCCCACGUCCACGUGCCGAAAGUUCCCGGGCAGUGAGUGCACACAGCAUGGACCAGGAUGCUUGUGCCCACAGCUCUUCAGGGAAAGGCAUGUCACCAAGGCUAAGCACGCACUUCUUCUCGAUCAAAAUUCUAACUUCAUGGUAACCGGAAAAUUAAUGCCAACAAUGGCGGUAAUACGAACCUUCCAGUUACCCCGUGUGGGUACCUAUCAACUGGCCCACUGGGUAAUAGAGGCUGAGAUGGCGGCGAGCUGGAGGCCCAGGAGAGCCCAUGGUGUAGCUCCAGCCUGAGUCUGAGUCGGAGGGCAGGAGACCAGUGUCCCAGCUCGAGGACACACCCGGGCAGAGCGAGCUCCCCAUCACUGGACCUUCUGUUUCAUUUUGACGCUCAAAGGGUUCGGCGAGCCCCGCCCACCUUGAGGAGGGCAGUUCGCCUUAUUCCGUCUACUGCUCCGGAUGCUGAUCUCACCUGGAAACACCCUCACAGACAGACCCAGACUAAGGCUCACCCAAAUAUCUGGGCACCCUUGUGGCCCAGCCAAGAGGACAUAUUCCAUGAACCACCAGAUGCUGGUUCUUAAACGCCACCCUCACUGACUCCUCCACCGGCUGUAACUCAGACCACACAACCCGAGAGCCUGGUGGAACCUCAGUUCUGUGGCCAUUUCUUAAAGGGGACUCCCUGGUCUUUGGGCUGCAGAUCUAGAGUCACCGGCACUCCUGAGGAGGACAGGAGGUCAUUGCCUUGCAUCUGAGCCAUCUUCAAGCAGGAGCUGCUGUUCAGAUAUGAAAUGUGUGCGGAACUAGCCUGUUAGAAGUGCCCUCUGUGCUUCCCCUGGCUUCUGAGCACAGCCCGCACCCACUGCCCAGCCCUCCUGCACCCUCCCCGGGCCUUCCUCCCUCCACCUCUCUUUCUUCUGCAGGUGAGCUCCCCCUCCAGAGGGAGGAGGCAGGCCAAGCCACGCUUCCUUCCCAACCUGGCUCCCUCCAUCCUUCAUCAUUCUUUUUGAAAAAAUCCUCUGUCAUUUGGCUGCCAGGGAGGCGGCGACAAUUCUGAAACCUUACGGUGGCACCAGAGAAUAAAGCUGGGAAUUAUUUGGGCACAGUGUUGAGACAGCAAGUGACAGGGUGGAGGAAGAAAGCCAGGCUAGCUGCGCAGAGCCCCUGCUGAGGAAGACGGAGCCCAGGAGCCCAGAUGGGGCGCAGCCCAAGGGAAGGUCGGAGUCCACACGACAGCUCAGGGUGGCAGGAAGGAGACACAGCCGCAUGGCGAGACGGAGCCUGGUCCGCCUUCUGAAGUGCUCCAUACAGUGAUGGCACCCCCAGUCAUGGUUUCACUGCCCGGGGUUUCAGUUCUGCACCAUCAGCUGUGGUCUGGAAGCAGAUGAUCGUCCUUCUGAUGCAGACAGAAAGCAGCUUGCAGCCUGACGCUGUGUCGCCUGCCGGUGUCCCCACCUCACUGCCUCUCAUGGUGUACACGCUUCACCAUCUCACGGCCUCACGGGGAGAGGGUUUGAGAUGCAAACCCACCUGGACUUCCUGUAUAUCUGGCAAUCCCACUCUGGACUACUGCAAGGGGGCAAGGGCCUGUCACCACCACUCAUCUCCAAGACCACCUCCUCCUCUGGGCUUGGGCUCCAGGCCCUCUUCCUUCAACUCUAGCUGAAUCACAGUGCAAAAGGCAAGAUACUGGUUGUUUUGCAACUACUGCCCAUAUUCCACUAAGUUUAGAGAAUUGGAAUACAGUGGACACACCGUCACAUGAACUCUAUGCUGAACAUAAUUCCACCCUUGAUGAGUGAAUGUGCUCUGUGAUCCCAGCAGACCUGCUGUUAAUCGGGGCACAGGGUGAGUGGGAGGGUGCGGCUGCAGCUUCGCUCCUCAGAACCGAACGCGGAGAGCCUGCUGUGGCAGGACCCCCACCGACCUGCCUUGCAUCUAGAGUCCAUCCAGAGAAAAGACUGAUGUCUGUGUCUUCAGCAGGAAGAAAAAAUGCAUUUCGCUAAUGAGAACAAAACCUCAUGUGGCACAACAGAAGGGCGCUGUGUCUCAUUCCCAGGAGGUCCGCGGCCUGGCGGGUGGGGCAGAGGGGCCACUGACCACGCUCUUCUCCAGGUGUGGUCCUCUCAGCCAAAUGAGCGAACCACAUCUCUAAUUAGAAUUAUAUGCAGAAUGAGAAGAUUCUUCAAGGACCGUCUCUGGGUCCUCAUCAUCUUAAGUAUCUGUUGCCAUGGAAGCCAGCGAGCAGCUCCAAAAAUCUAGAGUGGUGGGCGGUACUUGCCCACUAGCCCUCUCGCCCUUUAAAUAAAGUUGCCUUUUU
Molecule: non-coding RNA, 3795 nt
Organism: Manis javanica (Malayan pangolin)
Lineage: Eukaryota; Metazoa; Chordata; Mammalia; Pholidota; Manidae
Source: RefSeq, a predicted model, not a curated record